Molecule: long non-coding RNA, 324 nt
Filed under: Mytilus galloprovincialis (Mediterranean mussel)
Lineage: Eukaryota; Metazoa; Mollusca; Bivalvia; Mytilida; Mytilidae
Source: RNAcentral
CAGAGAGGAAGCUUUGAAUUAUUGACGAAUUCUUUUUAACUAUCGUGCGUCUGAAAGUUGGCUUAUUGGUUGAAAAUUUAGCAAUCAGGUUUUUAAUCAGUGUUGGUUUGGUUUCACAAAUUUUCAGCACAGCAAAACGGACGACCCACUUAGGCAAGCUUUUCAUUCAGGUCCGGAGACGACCAAGUGACCACAUUUCGUUUCCCAAGUUACUCUUGGGGGUACCCUAGAAGGUGUUCUUGAAUUGGUCCAUAUUUUUAUUUAAUUUAAUCAAUAUCUAAAUUUAUAAACUUGUUGAAAGGAAAUCAUUGCUAGCACUGCAUG